AGUCAAACACACUUUUGUGUCCAUCGAAAGCUGCAGCCAUGAUUGGUGUCCUUCCAUUAUCGCCUUUGAGGUUGAUAUUAGAAUCUGACACCAGAUGUUCAACCAAAGCCAUGUUUCCUCCCUCACAGGCAAGGUGAAGUACACUAUCACCAAAUGUAUCAAGCAUAGAGAGGUCUGCCCCCUUUGAUUCUAGGAAGUCAAACACACUUUUGUGUCCAU
Molecule: long non-coding RNA, 219 nt
Organism: Haliotis rubra (blacklip abalone)
Lineage: Eukaryota; Metazoa; Mollusca; Gastropoda; Lepetellida; Haliotidae
Exons: 2
Source: RefSeq, a predicted model, not a curated record